This 484-nucleotide ribosomal RNA is filed under the name uncultured bacterium. RNAcentral's name for it is "partial 16S ribosomal RNA". It matches the Rfam family "Bacterial small subunit ribosomal RNA", at positions 30 to 507 of the family's 1533-position model. The record is from RNAcentral.
AUUGAACGCUGGCGGCAGGCCUAACACAUGCAAGUCGAGCGGAUGAAGGGAGCUUGCUCCUGGAUUCAGCGGCGGACGGGUGAGUAAUGCCUAGGAAUCUGCCUGGUAGUGGGGGAUAACGUCCGGAAACGGGCGCUAAUACCGCAUACGUCCUGAGGGAGAAAGUGGGGGAUCUUCGGACCUCACGCUAUCAGAUGAGCCUAGGUCGGAUUAGCUAGUUGGUGGGGUAAAGGCCUACCAAGGCGACGAUCCGUAACUGGUCUGAGAGGAUGAUCAGUCACACUGGAACUGAGACACGGUCCAGACUCCUACGGGAGGCAGCAGUGGGGAAUAUUGGACAAUGGGCGAAAGCCUGAUCCAGCCAUGCCGCGUGUGUGAAGAAGGUCUUCGGAUUGUAAAGCACUUUUAGUUGGGAGGAGGGGCAGUAAGUUAAUACCUUGCUGUUUUGACGUUACCAACAGAAUAAGCACCGGCUAACUUCGUG